Molecule: ribosomal RNA, 245 nt
Filed under: Staphylococcus aureus
Lineage: Bacteria; Bacillati; Bacillota; Bacilli; Caryophanales; Staphylococcaceae
Description: partial 23S ribosomal RNA
Rfam family: Bacterial large subunit ribosomal RNA
Source: RNAcentral
GGAGCUGUAAGUAAGCUUUGAUCCAGAGAUUUCCGAAUGGGGAAACCCAGCAUGAGUUAUGUCAUGUUAUCGAUAUGUGAAUACAUAGCAUAUCAGAAGGCACACCCGGAGAACUGAAACAUCUUAGUACCCGGAGGAAGAGAAAGAAAAUUCGAUUCCCUUAGUAGCGGCGAGCGAAACGGGAAGAGCCCAAACCAACAAGCUUGCUUGUUGGGGUUGUAGGACACUCUAUACGGAGUUACAAA